Molecule: ribosomal RNA, 453 nt
Filed under: uncultured Porphyromonadaceae bacterium
Lineage: Bacteria; Pseudomonadati; Bacteroidota; Bacteroidia; Bacteroidales; Porphyromonadaceae
Description: partial 16S ribosomal RNA
Rfam family: Bacterial small subunit ribosomal RNA
Source: RNAcentral
ACGGAAGGCAGCAGUGGGGAAUAUUGGUCAAUGGGCGGAAGCCUGAACCAGCCAAGUCGCGUGAAGGAAGAAGGUAUUAUGUAUUGUAAACUUCUUUAGCAGCAGAGAAAUAAGGUGGACGUGUCCACUGAUGCUAGUAUGCUGAGAAUAAGCAUCGGCUAACUCCGUGCCAGCAGCCGCGGUAAUACGGAGGAUGCGAGCGUUAUCCGGAUUUAUUGGGUUUAAAGGGUGCGCAGGCGGUCUUUUAAGUCAGUGGUCAAAUCGUGGUGCUCAACGCCAUCCCGCCAUUGAUACUGGGAGACUUGAUUGCGGUUGAGGUAGGCGGAAUUCGUCGUGUAGCGGUGAAGUGCAUAGAUAUGACGAAGAACACCGAUUGCGUAGGCAGCUUACCAAGCCGUAAAUGACGCUCAUGCACGAAAGUGCGGGGAUCGAACAGGAUUAGAUACCCUGGUA